GACGAACGCUGGCGGCGUGCUUAACACAUGCAAGUCGAGCGGUAAGGCCCUUUCGGGGGUACACGAGCGGCGAACGGGUGAGUAACACGUGGGUGACCUGCCCUCAGCUCUGGGAUAAGCCUGGGAAACUGGGUCUAAUACUGGAUAUGACUCCACGGUGCAUGUCGUGGGGUGGAAAGCCUUGUGCGGCUGAGGAUGGGCCCGCGGCCUAUCAGCUUGUUGGUGGGGNGAUGGCCUACCAAGGCGACGACGGGUAGCCGGCCUGAGAGGGCGACCGGCCACACUGGGACUGAGACACGGCCCAGACUCCUACGGGAGGCAGCAGUGGGGAAUCUUGCGCAAUGGCCUAACGGCUGACGCAGCGACGCCGCGUGUGGGAUGAAGCUCUUCGGAGUGUAAACCACUGUUGCCCGGGACGAACAGCUCGAUUAAUCGAGCCUGACGGUACCGGGUGAGGAAGCACCGGCUAA
RNAcentral lists this ribosomal RNA (470 nucleotides) under uncultured bacterium. RNAcentral describes it as "bacterial SSU rRNA". It matches the Rfam family "Bacterial small subunit ribosomal RNA", at positions 28 to 500 of the family's 1533-position model. The record is from RNAcentral.